RNAcentral lists this ribosomal RNA (301 nucleotides) under uncultured bacterium. Its description in RNAcentral is "partial 16S ribosomal RNA". It matches the Rfam family "Bacterial small subunit ribosomal RNA", at positions 509 to 809 of the family's 1533-position model. The record is from RNAcentral.
CAGCCGCCGCGGUAAUACGAGGGGGGCAAGCGUUGUUCGGAAUUAUUGGGCGUAAAGGGUGCGCAGGCGGUUUUGUAAGACAGAGGUGAAAUCCCCGGGCUCAACCUGGGAACUGCCUUUGUGACUGCAAGGCUAGAGUACGGCAGAGGGGGAUGGAAUUCCGCGUGUAGCAGUGAAAUGCGUAGAUAUGCGGAGGAACACCGAUGGCGAAGGCAAUCCCCUGGGCCUGUACUGACGCUCAUGCACGAAAGCGUGGGGAGCAAACAGGAUUAGAUACCCCCGUAGUCCCUGUCUCUUAUAA